UUAUAUACUAAUUCUGACAGGCUAUUUUCAUUUUUGGUAUUUAUGAAGGCAUAAAUACCAAAAAUGAAAAUAGCCUGUCAGAAUUAGUAUAAGUAAA
This is a non-coding RNA of Paramuricea clavata, 97 nucleotides long. Lineage: Eukaryota; Metazoa; Cnidaria; Anthozoa; Malacalcyonacea; Plexauridae. The record is from the annotation of a GenBank genome assembly.